Molecule: ribosomal RNA, 809 nt
Filed under: uncultured bacterium
Lineage: Bacteria
Description: bacterial SSU rRNA
Rfam family: Bacterial small subunit ribosomal RNA
Source: RNAcentral
AGUCGAGGGGUAUGGUUCUUCGGAACCAGAGACCGGCGCACGGGUGCGUAACGCGUAUGCAAUCUGCCUUUCACAGAGGGAUAGCCCAGAGAAAUUUGGAUUAAUACCUCAUAGUAUAGCGACAUCGCAUGAUGAUGCUAUUAAAGUCACAACGGUGAAAGAUGAGCAUGCGUCCCAUUAGCUAGUUGGUAAGGUAACGGCUUACCAAGGCAACGAUGGGUAGGGGUCCUGAGAGGGAGAUCCCCCACACUGGUACUGAGACACGGACCAGACUCCUACGGGAGGCAGCAGUGAGGAAUAUUGGUCAAUGGGCGCAAGCCUGAACCAGCCAUGCCGCGUGCAGGAUGACGGUCCUAUGGAUUGUAAACUGCUUUUGCACAGGAAGAAACACUGAUUCGUGAAUCAGCUUGACGGUACUGUGAGAAUAAGGAUCGGCUAACUCCGUGCCAGCAGCCGCGGUAAUACGGAGGAUCCAAGCGUUAUCCGGAAUCAUUGGGUUUAAAGGGUCCGUAGGCGGUCUGGUAAGUCAGUGGUGAAAGCCCAUCGCUCAACGGUGGAACGGCCAUUGAUACUGCUGGACUUGAAUUAUUAGGAAGUAACUAGAAUAUGUAGUGUAGCGGUGAAAUGCUUAGAGAUUACAUGGAAUACCAAUUGCGAAGGCAGGUUACUACUAAUGGAUUGACGCUGAUGGACGAAAGCGUGGGUAGCGAACAGGAUUAGAUACCCUGGUAGUCCACGCCGUAAACGAUGGAUACUAGCUGUUGGAAGCAAUUUCAGUGGCUAAGCGAAAGUGAUAAGUAUCCCACCUG